Molecule: ribosomal RNA, 279 nt
Filed under: uncultured bacterium
Lineage: Bacteria
Description: partial 16S ribosomal RNA
Rfam family: Bacterial small subunit ribosomal RNA
Source: RNAcentral
UGCCAGCAGCCGCGGUAAUACGUAGGGUGCGAGCGUUGUUCGGAAUUACUGGGCAUAAAGCGCAUGUAGGCGGUCUGGUCAGUCAGGUGUGAAAGCCCAUGGCUCAACCAUGGAAUUGCACUUGAUACUGCCAGACUCGAGGGCGUCAGAGGAGAGUGGAACUCGUAGUGGAGCGGUGAAAUGCGUAGAUAUUACGAGGAACACCGGCGGCGAAAGCGACUCUCUGGGGCGUACCAGACGCUGAGAUGCGAAAGCCAGGGGAGCGAACGGGAUUAGAUA